AUGUGGAUUGAUGAGCAUGGAGGAUGCAAUACAACGGAGAAAUACGAUGGGGUUGUGUUGCUGAGGGGAAGUGUGCAUGUGCUCCAGCUGUCACAGAUCGACGGACGUGCUGACUUCUAUCGAACGGUAGUCAAGGCGGUUUACAAAUCUUGCCCAUCAUCCGACUUACGCGUAGCAGUGGCCAAAUUUCUGCGGGAAAUAGAAGCUCCCGUCACCUUAUAUGGGGGCGAGGCGAAAAGCAAUCCACAGAGGGAUUUUUUUCUCAAGUGUCUCAUUUUUUUUUUUGAGAAUAAUAACAAGUGGCUCAUCUAUAUCAUAGUACAAAUCAUGACACAUCGACCUGACACAACUGAAAAACAGCAAAAUGUUAACCUUUAUACAAAGGAACACAAGUCAAGAAAAAAACACCAGGACUGA
Molecule: ribosomal RNA, 417 nt
Filed under: Triticum aestivum (bread wheat)
Lineage: Eukaryota; Viridiplantae; Streptophyta; Magnoliopsida; Poales; Poaceae
Description: partial small subunit ribosomal RNA
Source: RNAcentral